Molecule: non-coding RNA, 1437 nt
Organism: Nicotiana tabacum (common tobacco)
Lineage: Eukaryota; Viridiplantae; Streptophyta; Magnoliopsida; Solanales; Solanaceae
Source: RefSeq, a predicted model, not a curated record
AUAGCUACUUUAUACAAAGGGGAUACUACUCUUAUUCCAAUGUGGGACAAUUACAUAGCUAUCUCUAACACCUAUAUAUGUGAAGUGUGUAUUGAGGUAUUCAUAUGGAUGUAUAGUGUACUGAUCAACUGGACACUGAGGGAAACUAUGCCCAGUAUGCUUUCAUCUUUCAUGCUUGUGCUUAUCUGUAUAACUUUUGGAGAAUAUUAACUGAUUCAAUUGUUAAUUGCUGUAGAGUUUGAAAUAACAGUUGAAACUAUAUUAUAUGUUAAUUGUUGCAUAACUACGGGAGAGUUGCUCCUAACACAUGAUUAUGAGUAGUUACUAAAACUAAACUAAUUCAUUAACUCAACCAAGUUUUGAUUGUUAUAGGAUAAAUUUGAGAGUGUUGACAUGAAUGGUCAUCGUGAUCAUAUCUUCACAUGGAUGGAAGAGUUAUGGAACAAAUGGAGAGGACACUUGCAUGCAAAUAUGUGAAGGAUAAGCCAAUUCAAUAGGUUCUUAAGAAUAUUCCAAAAGGAGUAGACAAGAAAGAAUGGGAGUGGUUAUUAAAGGAACAUUGUUAUUCAAAAAAUUUUCAGGCGAGAAGCAACAGGUAUGCGGCAAAUCGAGUUAAGUUGAAGAUGCUUCAUCAUAUUAGUAGCAAGCCUAUUAAUGAGAUCAUUUAUCAAAAGGGCGGAAAAGAUGGCAACCCACCCGAUUUGGCAACAAUUUUCUUUGAAACCCGUAAAAAAGAUAACAAGCUUGUUGAACCUGAAGCAAUUGAAAAACAUGCUCAAAUAGAAGAAAUAGUUCAAGCAGAUUCAUCUCUACCUAGCAUAGAGAUUGUAGAAAAAUGUUGUGGACCUCAAACUCAUAGCCAUGUGUUUGGAUUUGGGGGUAGAGUCAAGGCGAAAGACUUGAAAGGUGGAACUUCUUCAAUUACUGUUCGCACUACGUUCAACUCGAAAAAAAACAAAUCUUUGAAUGAAUGAAACAAAUCCUUGAAUGAGCGCUUGUCUACCUUAGAAGAUGAGAUAAAAGAAAUGAGGAAAAUAAGAGAGUACUUUGCUGCUCAACAAUCAUAUGUCCCGCUUACGAUGACAUCGCCCGUUUCAACUGAAUGACCACUGUUUUUAUCUGCUGACCAGCCUUGUUGAUGUUGGUGGAUAUCACCUGGUGAAUUUUGACUGCUUUUGGGGUUUUGAAGACUGAAGCUACAAGUCAAGAUUCAAGUUUAGAAGAUGUACAAGCUCAUUAUUAUUUUCCUAAAAAUGUUAUGGAAAACUUGAUAUCAUAGUCUAGCUCAGGAUGAUAGCUAAGUUUUUUUUGUUGAGGUGUUGAGAAAACAUAGAAAGUAACAUCAUCAUGGGAUUUGAACUUGAUAUCUUAUCUUUUUAUAUCUAGACUUUCCAAUAACAAUUUGAUAUUGAUUGAUAAAAAUUACUUUUUGUGGCA